RNAcentral lists this long non-coding RNA (233 nucleotides) under Elaeis guineensis (African oil palm). Its description in RNAcentral is "long non-coding RNA (EGUI_LNC046866)". Lineage: Eukaryota; Viridiplantae; Streptophyta; Magnoliopsida; Arecales; Arecaceae. The record is from RNAcentral.
AGGCUGCAGCAAUCUAUCGAGAAAUCACUGCUCCAACUUCAGAAGCUCUUUUGAAGGACUUUCAGAUCUGAUCCAGAUCUGAUUUUUAGAGAAAAGAUUCAUGAGGAGAAGAUAAUUCAGAUCCUACUUGAGUGGAUACUGAUAGAGGCCAAGCAACUGUAUGGCUAUAUUAGAACCUCAGGUAUUGCUGCUAUCAUCUACAGGGUAAUCAAGUUACCCUAGAGGUAUUUCUG